CCCCCCCCCCUCCGAGCCUCCCCACCGCUCCACGCAGGUGCGCCCGCCUAAUCCCCCACAUUCCCACGGCACAGCACACACUGUUUCGUUUUUCCUUUUCGUUCGCUCUGAUCUUGUUUCGAUCAUGAAAACAAUGAGCAGGCGCAACAGCCGCACCAUCUAUGUAGGCAACCUCCCUGGGGACAUCCGUGAGAGGGAGGUUGAGGACCUCUUCUACAAGUAUGGUCGAAUUUUGGAUAUUGACCUGAAGAUACCUCCAAGACCUCCUGGAUACGCUUUCGUCGAGUUUGAGGAUCCACGUGAUGCUGAUGACGCGAUUUAUGGGCGUGAUGGGUAUAACUUUGAUGGCUACAGGUUGCGGGUUGAAUUAGCUCAUGGUGGAAGAGGUCAGUCUUACUCUUAUGAUCGUUCUAGCAGCUAUAGCAGUGCACGUCGUGGAGGUGUUUCUAGGCGCUCUGAUUACCGUGUUAUGGUCACGGGUUUACCUUCAUCGGCAUCGUGGCAAGAUCUGAAGGACCACAUGCGACGCGCCGGUGAUGUUUGUUUCUCGGAUGUAUACCGUGAGGCCGGAGAAACUAUUGGAGUUGUGGAUUAUACAAACUAUGACGACAUGAAAUAUGCGAUAAGGAAGCUUGAUGACUCACUGUUCAGAAAUGCAUUUUCUAGGGCGUAUAUCAGAGUGCGGGAGUAUGAUGCUAGAUCACGAAGCAGAAGCCGUAGCCGCUCGUACUCGAGAAGCCCCAGUUACAGCAGGAGCAGGAGUCCAAAAUCUGUUUCUCGGUCACCAUCACCUGUGGAUGAAAGAUCUGGCCAUGCCGGCGAUCUGGGGACUGCAUUGAUAGAUUAUUGGAUGUAUUGAGAAUCGGAGUGGAUGGUUUGGGACUUUGGAUAGUAGAGCUGGAUUGUGAUGCAUGUAUGACAAGUGGGCUACAACCAGUCCUAGGAGCAAGAUAGGACUGACAAUCGCUAUCAAGAUCCGGAUCCCCUGUCUCUUCUCCUUCUCGUGGAAGAUCUGCUAGCAGAAGCCCCAGGAGCAGAAGCGCAUCCCGUUCUCGUUCUCCUGUGAGAUCUGAUUGAACUAGGGAACCCUUGAAGCGGUGAGCAACUAUAACCAGAGAGACAGAAGGAAGCUGAGAACAUGCACUACCAUCACAAUGGUCUGAAUGAUUCUGUUGUUGCCGCUGCACCCCCUCAUUUGGGAGGUUUCCUCUUAUUUAGUAUUUAAUAAUGACAUUAUAUUGCUAAAGAGAGCCUUUUUUGCCUAUCCUACUGGUGUAAACUGAACUUCUGUGUCCUGGGCUCCUGGCACUCAGGUUUCAUCACUUACCCUAUAGUAAGUGGUUGUUACUAUCUACUCUCCGGUAGCCUGUUUUACAUUGACACUUUUAUGCAGCGGCACGCACCUCUUUCAAUUGGUCGCUUGUAAGCAUAGUUGAGGGGUCGAUGUACUCGGUUAUUUGGUUUCUGUGUGCUUCUGAGAUAUUAUUAGAAUGCUUUGUACUCAGUUAUUUGGUUUCUGUGUGCUACUGAUACAUUAUUAGAAUGGCAGCAUUGAUCUUCUUUGGAACA
Panicum hallii is the source of this 1569-nucleotide RNA transcript. It is a transcript of the gene named serine/arginine-rich splicing factor SR30-like, with no coding region annotated. The transcript is spliced from 15 exons. NCBI's taxonomy places the organism in Eukaryota, Viridiplantae, Streptophyta, Magnoliopsida, Poales, Poaceae. The record is from RefSeq and is a predicted model, not a curated record.